CUCAAUGCCAAACCCUUUUUUUUCUCUUUCAUUAGUCAUUUAACCUUCAGUAAUGCCGCAACAUUUUCUUUCCAUUCCUCGGAAGGUUCAAGAUCCACAUUGACUCACUCAUUGUCCUCGCAACGACAAUGUUUUCUCUCUCUCUCUUUCAUUUGCAGCUGCUCUUGGUGUCACCCCUGACAAAGGAGAUUUGAUUUUUGUUGUUCGUCUCACGGGCCUCGGCAACGGCAACAACAACAACAACGAUAGUGAGUCACCGGUUUCAGUGCAGUGCAAGCUUGGUUGGAUGGAAUGGAUCAUUCCUAUUCCCAUGUUUGGUUAAGUCAAGAGACCCAAGGUGUUCAUCAAUGGCGAAGUUCAAGAAUCUUGCUUUGAUCGUGUUGACCAGAAAGAAGUGAGGUUGUCAUGAUUGGAUAAUUCAUAUCUCUUUGGUCUACAAAAGAUAAGUUUUGUUGAUAAAUUGUUUCAAGUGCCUUUUGAAUUGGAAUGGAACCAUGUGGAGGUUACAUAUGAAAGUGCGUUAUAUAUCCUUCUUAAUUUCUUUUGGCAUGACUAUACAACUUCUUUAAUUAUAGAGCCAUUAAUGGCUAAUGAAUUUUCCUCAAGUGAUGGUGGGGCAAAGUUGCGCAUUGCUUACUAGGUACCCAAACAUACCCUAUGUUAUAUUUGCAAUUGAGGCAUAUAUGCACGUAAGUUAAAUAUACAAUAAAUGUUUUAUGUCCUUCCAUAUAUUUUAAAUGUUUUAUAUUCUUUGUAUUAUUUUGUUUUUAUUUCAUUGAUUGUUGAAAUAUAAAAAUAAUAAAAGAAAUUGAGUUGAAAGUCAACUAUAUAUCAAUUGGAAUUACUAAGAUAUCAUGUAUAUAUAUAAUUUAAACUCUCAAUUACUAAAUAACAUGUUGUGACGUAACAUCUGUUUAGGUAGUAAAUUCUAGUUUUAUAUUAUCUCUUACCUUUUAUAUAAGAAAAAAAAUAUCAUACUUUUUUGUCCUUAUCAUAUAAGAAAUAUAUACUUAAUUUUAGAUGUAUUAUUGCAUAUUACUGAUAAAAAAAAGAUAUUUAUUUAACCUUUUUUUCAUAAAAUGAAUAAUCUUAUUCAAGACAUAGAAGCCUGAUUUUUUAUUUAUUUUUAUGGCCUCUAGUAAACAAUGAUGAUGGGAUCUAGAUCCCUAACCUCUAUUUAAGAUCAUAGAGGUUCUCCAUUCAGCCUAUAGAGAUGGUCAUAAAUAUUCUUCAUAUAUAAAAAUUAUGUCCGAGCUGGUAGUUUUCUUAAUAUUUUAUAAAAAUAAAUAAAUAAAUUUAAUAUUUAAAAAUAUUAGUUCUUACCAUACAAAAUAAAUAGAAAAAAAUAAUAGCGAGAUUUACAGUUAUUCGUACAGUAACAUGGAAACAGACACAGACAUAGUCUUAACUUGGAAGUACAAAACAAACCAUUGUCUCCUUAUCCAACAUGGUGUGCCAGCCCACCCAAUGAAAGUGAAUGAAACAACUUCCGUUUUCUCGACCCAAUUUAAUCUUGAGAAAAUAUUCUAUUUAGAUAAUUCCUAUGUACACCUCCCUUAUUACUAAUAAACUCAUUUCCAUAUUUUUUCCCCAUAUUAGCUUCUCUUCAUAACACAUAUGGGUAGCUUUUCUUGUUACAGAUAUGCUGUUAAAGCAUGAGUAGUUAUAAAGAGCACGUAUUAUUUGAUAAAUUAAGUAAUAUGGAAAAAAAUGUUAUGGUUGCCUUGCCUAAUUAUUUUUCUGUUAGUUAUAUGGUUUAAAGUUCAUGUUUUUUUUUUCUCCCUUUCUUUCCUUCUCCUUCCCUCCUUAUAACAUCACUGAUUUCUCAACACUUGUUAAACCCUCUCCAUCUAUUUCAGAUGUGAUUUUCAGAAUUAUAGCUUUCACAUCUCAAAUGUAGAUGUGAUUCUUCCAUCUUAACAAGUUUCUAAACACAUUAUAUGUAAAAAGUUAAUUAAUAAAAAAGAAUUGUUGGUGAUCCAGGUUAGUGGACCAGUUACUGUGGAACUUAAUGUAAACAUGCAUUGUGAGGCCUGUGUUGAGCAACUCAAGAGGAAGAUACUACAAAUGAGAGGUACCAUUUUUCUCUAUUGAUUUCAAAUUUUCAAUAUGAUCACGGCUUCAUUGUUAGUUGUAAGGGAGAAAGGAAAGGUGAAAAAAUAAAGGGAAAGAAGUGCAAGGCUAUACUUUGCAAUACUUAAGAGACUAGUAUUUAUACAAUUACUUUGUUAUCUUAAAAUUAAGAAUUAAUAGUGUGUACGUAUAAAACUCCUUAUAUUUGAUUUAUUUAGUUGGGUAUAGCAUUUUAUAUUAGAAUAACAUUAAUAUAAUUUUUGUAAGUAAGGUAUGGUUUGUUCAUUGUAAAAAUAUAUAAAAUAUUUUAAAAUUUUGCAAAAAAAUAACAUCGGUUGGUUUAUAACCGAUGUAGAAAGUGCAUUCACAACAUCAGUUAUGACCAAAACCGAUGUUGUAAAGACACUUUCUACAUCGGUUCCGUAAAAACCGAUGUCGUAAUCAAAUUCAACAUCGGUUUUUUCAAAAACCGAUGUUGUCUAUAACUUUCAACAUCGAUUUUUACAGAACCAAUGUAGAAAGUAUUUCAGAAUAUAUAAUUCAACAUUGAUUUUUUCAAAAACCGACGUUGUAUAUAACUUUCAGUAUCGAUUUUUACAGAACCGGUAUAGAAAGUAUUUCAGAAUAUACAAUUCAAGAUCAGUUUUUUGAAAAAAUCGAUGUUGUUUUUUACAUGAUAGCAUCGGUUUUCUUGAAAAACGAAGUUAUAUUGUGUAUUUUAACAUCAGUUUUUAUAACUGAUGUUAACGUUCAUACUUUUAAAGUUGAUAUUUUCAACAUCGAUUCGAAAACCGAUGUUGAAUGUCCAAAAUAACUGAUGUUAAAAGUGUUUUUUUCUAGUAGUGAUAUUUGAAAAUGCAUUACGACAUCGGUUCUUGUAGAAGUGACGCAGAAUGCAAGAAUAAUGUCUUAGGGAAUGCGAAGUGGCUCUCUAUCUCAGUCCUUAUUUUCAUUUUUUUUAAUCUCUCUCUCCUUUAUUUUUGAAAAACCCUAAAGUCUCCUCCUUGCUCUCUCUCUCUCUCUUUGCGCCUCCAUCUCCUUUUCUUCCAUACUCCCUUAGCUUCUUCUGUUCAAAUUCCAGAUCCUUACCAGCUCCAUCGUGAGGCACAUGCUCAUUCGCAUAAUCCUACUUGUGUGUGUUGUCUCAAUUGUGUCUGUGUACCGCACCCUAUCCCCUUUUGAUUUUGGAACCCUCGCUCCCAUCACCACCUACUUCGACCGUGUCUCUGGCUUCCAGAGCUUCAUCUUCUGCCACAGUUCCCCCUUCCUCCGAACUCGGUUCGGGGUCUGCCUGCAAGGAGAAGAACCAACAUGUAUGGUUCAAGGAGAAGGAGAAAGUAGUGUUGUUGUUCGAAAGCGAUUACAAAGGAAGAGAAGGAGAAUGUAGUGUUGUUGUUCGAAAGCGAUUACAAAGGAAGAGAAGGAGAAUGUAGUGUUGUUGUUUGAAAGCAAUUCAAGGAGAAGCAGCAACAAGAACAACCCUUUCCUUCCACAAGGACCAUCAUCAACCAACAACACCGUCAAUGUGCCUCCCUCCCCAACAACACUCAACCAUUUCAAUUUUUUUUUUCCUUUUAUUUAAGAAAACAAAAUCACUAAUCUUCCAUUCCAUCUGAAACAUCACCUUCACACACAUCUCGCAUGCACUAAUUGAACGUGGCCUCAUUUAUAUAUUUCAUUAUGGAAGCCUGCAGAAAAUGAUUUCUCUUAGUUGGCACUUCUUAUUAUUAAUUAUACCUUUAUUUCCAUUACUGUGGAAGCCCCAUCAUUUCAAGUUUCAUUCUUGAAAAUGAAAUUUAAAGGGGAUGUUAUUGGAUGGCAAGAGGAGGAUUGUAGAAUUGUCUAUAUCUCUGCUGGUUUUCUACUUUUAAGGUUUAAAUGAAUGCAACGUGAACUUGGAAUGAAACCAUGUAUGGUUGAGUGCAACUUUUUCUACUUUUAAGGUGGUAUGCCUGCAAGGAGAAGAAACAGUAAGCUUCGCCUGCAAGGAGAACAAAAAUGGAAGUUUCAAAGGUAAACCAAUUUGCUCUAUCUGUUUUCUAUCUCAGCUUGUGGAGAAGAAACACGAAGCUCUCACUUAGAGUAUUUUUCUUUCAUUUUUUGUCUAUGCUUUAUGUUCUUUAUAAUUUAUGAGGAUAUGCUGUUAUGGAAAGUUGGAAAAGAGACUUAGACUAACAGAUUUUAAUGAAUAUUGUGGGCCAUUGUAUAUUUGUAUUGCAAGCAUUCACUUUUUAGUUUCUCGUUGUGGCAAUUGGUUUCAUUUCCCUUACCUACUCUCUUAGCUGUGUGGUUUCACUUCCUAGUGAACAUUAGCCUAGAAGCAGCCCAAAAGUUCCAUUAGUUAUAUUGGUGUGAAGGCUACCUUUUGGAUUUCUUCUCACUUCAUCUCUACUUGCUUGGUGGUGUUGUUAUUCAAGAAACUAAGAAAGUUCCUGGACUUAGUGAAUCAAAUAACAUUAAAAAUUAAGAGUUGUUGUAGAAAUUAGGGUUGAUUUACUACAAAAAUUUUACCGGCCCUUACAAAAAUCAUAUUUCCACAUGCAACAAUAUUCAAUCUCUCACUACUACAAAACCUGUUUAUUACGACGCACUAACAAUAUCGGUUGGUAUACCACCAUCUUUGAAAAUAAUGGGAUGGAACGCUCGUAAUUAAAUUGUAAAUUUAAGGACGGUCAUUUAAAGACUGUCGUAGUGCUUCUCUAUACAAAGACGAUUUUACCCCACCAUCUUUGAAUGGUUAUAUUUUUAUUAUUUUCUCUCUCUCUCUCUCUCUCUCUCUCUCUCUCUCUCUCUCUUAUCUUAUCACUGGCAGCUAUAGGGACCUGUGACCCUUCAUUUCUUUCCUUAGUCUCGCUUCUCUCUCUCGGGCGAAGAACUCCUUAAGGAGACAUUUAGCUCUUUGAGGAUUAGAACCCCUCGAUCCCUUCCUUUUCCCCUUAAAUUCCACACCUCCUUCUCCUUCAAGUCUUCGGCCUCAACCUUCCACGCCUUCUCCAAUGUUGAGGAGGACAAAGAAGAUGAUGAAGAAGAAGACCAAGAUCCACCGAAUGUUUUAGGCGAAUGCCAAGGGAGAUUCCGACGAGCUGUAGAUCCACCGAAGGUGGAGGACAAGAUCGGUGUUGUGCCUCAUGGCCUUUCAACCAAUUCAGAUGUCGUCAAGAGGUGUGCGUUGUUUGAUUUCCCUUUUUCUCUUGUUCUCUUGUUUUUCUAGUAGUUGAUCUCGAAGAGAUCUGUCCGGAGCAACACAAAGAAGUUUAAGUUCCAAGCGGAAGUGUCGCGACUUAUGGAUCGUGUUCCACCCCAGAAACCCUAAUCAAAAGCCCAUUCAGAGCCUUAAGGGCCAUCAUGGGCGACAACUACUAUAUCUGCAGGUUCCAGGGUAUCGUUUUCUAGUUCUAGUUGCGGGAAAAAUUUGCAAAUGGAAGAAAUGAAGGUUGCUUCAAACUUGUUGGUGGGUGACCCUGCUUCACUGGAGAAGAAAAUUGAUGCAAUUCGUUUCGGUGGUCCCUAGAAGCUUCAGGUUUUUGCAUGCAUUUGGUUGAUAUUUAAUUUAAUUGUUGUAUUGUGUAUUCCAUAAUUAUUUUUUUGUGUGUGUGCUAAAUGAAUUGGCUCAAUGUGAUGGCUUAAAAAAUGGGUUGCCUUUGAAAAAUGGUUUUUGUUUUUUUUUUUUUGAGAUUGCUGAUUUUUAUGCCACGUUAACAAAGUUUUGUGUUAAUGGAACUCGUGGCCAAAGUAUGUUGUUCCCUCAACGUUUUAUUCCUCCCUUUGAGGUUUUGAGGCAAGAAAAACUGUCAUUAGGAAUUGAUAUGUAUCAUAUCUCAUAGAUUCAUUUGCACUUUUGUAGCCACUCAUGGUCUUUUAAGCAGGGUAAUCUAGAAUAUGAUGCCAAAAGGCAACAGUUAUAUGAAUAUUACCAUCCAUUAGUGUUUUCGCCGACUAUUGGACUUGAAGAGUAAACAAAGCUCAUGGAAGAGUGGUGUGUGAAUUGAUGGUGGGGAAAAACACAAGGUCUUCUUGUUGAGGGAGGACUUACAUAUGAUUCAAUAAGACAAUCAGUUGGUAAUGCCAACAUAGCUUUCAGGGAAUGUGUUUCUGAACUUUUUUGAGUUUCUGGAGGUUAAAGAGAAAACCAUAGCCACAAGAGGGAUUGAAGUUAAGACUAUUAUAUUCCCUUCAGCUAACGAGAGAUUUUGAUGAGCUAGCAACUAAUUUUGCUUUUGAUGAUGAGCAAUCUCAGAGGUGAAGCUUAUUUGAUUUCAAAGAUAUCAUAAUUUUCUGCUCAAUGACUCCAGUCUCGAAGUUGUUUCUGAUUUUCCCUUUAGAAAGGUCCAUGAAUGCAUAGAAGCCUACAAAUCAUACACAUUUAAUAGUUAGUAACAAUAAAAAAUGUAGAUUUUUAAUAAAUUUGAAAUAUGUAACCAUGGAAUCACCGUAUUUGGAAUUGUUUCAAUAAGAGCAAUGUAAGAAGAAGUACAUAACACUUAAUAUAGGCGUAACAAGAGAGGUAGGCCAGCUUAUUGGAAAAUAUCUGGCAUCAAAAUGUAAUGAUAAUAAGCAAGAUUCUGCUGCAUCCUGCUAGGGUAAUCUCAUCUGGUAUCAUAAUAUAGUAAAACAAGAUUCAAUCAUGCCCCAUCAAUAAAUGUUAGGUGCAUCCUAUAUGUUCACUAGAUAA
This is a long non-coding RNA of Glycine soja, 6745 nucleotides long. RefSeq lists it as uncharacterized. Lineage: Eukaryota; Viridiplantae; Streptophyta; Magnoliopsida; Fabales; Fabaceae. The record is from RefSeq and is a predicted model, not a curated record. The transcript has 6 exons.